This 89-nucleotide unclassified non-coding RNA is filed under the name Pseudomonas brassicacearum. The record is from RNAcentral. Lineage: Bacteria; Pseudomonadati; Pseudomonadota; Gammaproteobacteria; Pseudomonadales; Pseudomonadaceae.
UGUGGGAGCGAGCUUGCUCGCGAUAGCGGAGUAUCAGUCAACUGUGAUGUGGCUGAUGUAAUGUCAUCGCGAGCAAGCUCGCUCCCACA